This 253-nucleotide ribosomal RNA is filed under the name uncultured bacterium. RNAcentral describes it as "partial 16S ribosomal RNA". It matches the Rfam family "Bacterial small subunit ribosomal RNA", at positions 524 to 776 of the family's 1533-position model. The record is from RNAcentral.
UACAGAGGGGGCAAGCGUUGUUCGGAAUUAUUGGGCGUAAAGGGUGCGUAGGCGGUUUGGUAAGUCUGAUGUGAAAUCUAUGGGCUCAACUCAUAGUCUGCAUCGGAAACUGCCGGGCUUGAGUGUGGGAGAGGUGAGUGGAAUUCCUGGUGUAGCGGUGAAAUGCGUAGAUAUCAGGAGGAACACCUGUGGCGAAAGCGGCUCACUGGACCAUAACUGACGCUGAUGCACGAAAGCUAGGGGAGCAAACAGG